GUGACCGUGGCGGUGUAGGUGGAAGCAGCGGUGGAGGAGGAGGAUGAGGUAGCCAACACUGUUUUUUUUAUAUAUAUAUAUAUAUAUAUAUAUAUUUUAAUUGGGGUAGCCCCCAAAAUAUUGGGACAUAUAAAAAAAGACAACUCUGUUCCGCAGAGUAGCUGUUGACAUUAUAGUUGCGCAGGCACUUUGUUGACUUUAGAGAACCUCGGGCUAAUCGCACAUCCCCGUGACGGCGACUUUGCAUUUGGAUGUCAUCCAUAUCAACUUUCGAUGCCAGUUUCGGCGCCUACCAUGGUGACCACGGGUAACGGGGAAUCAGGGUUCCAUUCCGUACAGGGACCCUGAGAAACGACUACCACAUGCAAGGAAGGCAGCAGGCGCGCAAAUGACCCACUUCCGACGCGGGAAGUUAGAGAUGACAAAUAACAAUACAGGACUCUUUAGAGGCCCUGUAAUUGUAAUGAGUCCACUUGAAAUCCUUUAACUUUGAUCAAUUGAAGGGAAGUCUGGUGCAGAGCCACUGACCCGUACGUGCUACAGCUGAAA
Molecule: ribosomal RNA, 549 nt
Filed under: Pelobates cultripes (western spadefoot toad)
Lineage: Eukaryota; Metazoa; Chordata; Amphibia; Anura; Pelobatidae
Rfam family: Eukaryotic small subunit ribosomal RNA
Source: RNAcentral